Molecule: unclassified non-coding RNA, 379 nt
Filed under: uncultured Oligoflexaceae bacterium
Lineage: Bacteria; Pseudomonadati; Bdellovibrionota; Oligoflexia; Oligoflexales; Oligoflexaceae
Description: contains 16S-23S intergenic spacer region
Source: RNAcentral
UCCGAGUUGUCCCCGGCAGUCUCUUAUGAGUCCCCGGCAUAACCCGCUGGUAACAUAAGACAAGGGUUGCGCUCGUUGCGGGACUUAACCCAACAUCUUACGACACGAGCUGACGACAGCCAUGCAGCACCUAUCUCCCUGUCCCCGAAGGGAAGGCCGCAUCUCUGCGGAUGUCAGGGGAUGUUAAGCCCAGGUAAGGUUCUGCGCGUUGCUUCGAAUUAAACCACAUACUCCACCGCUUGUGCGGGCCCCCGUCAAUUCCUUUGAGUUUUAGUCUUGCGACCGUACUCCCCAGGCGGGUUACUUAAUGCGUGAGCUUCGGUACCCAGGAGGUUAACAUCCCGGACACCUAGUAACCAUAGUUUACGGCGUGGACUAC